RNAcentral lists this ribosomal RNA (250 nucleotides) under uncultured bacterium. RNAcentral describes it as "partial 16S ribosomal RNA". It matches the Rfam family "Bacterial small subunit ribosomal RNA", at positions 524 to 773 of the family's 1533-position model. The record is from RNAcentral.
UACGUAGGGGGCGAGCGUUGUCCGGAAUUACUGGGCGUAAAGAGCGUGUAGGCGGAUUUUUAAGUCAGAUGUGAAAACUAUCGGCUCAACCGGUAGACUGCAUCUGAUACUGGGAAUCUUGAGGGUAUGAGAGGGCAGUGGAAUUCCUAGUGUAGCGGUGAAAUGCGUAGAUAUCAAGUGGAACACCAGUGGCGAAGGCGAGUCCCUGGACAACUCCUGACACUGAGGCACGAAAGCCAGGGGAGCAAAC